CGCUGGCGGCGUGCCUAAUACAUGCAAGUAGAACGCUGAAGAGAGGCGCUUGCUCUUCUUGGAUGAGUUGCGAACGGGUGAGUAACGCGUAGGUAACCUGCCUUGUAGCGGGGGAUAACUAUUGGAAACGAUAGCUAAUACCGCAUAACAAUAGGUGACACAUGUCAUUUAUUUGAAAGGGGCAAUUGCUCCACUACAAGAUGGACCUGCGUUGUAUUAGCUAGUAGGUGAGGUAACGGCUCACCUAGGCGACGAUACAUAGCCGACCUGAGAGGGUGAUCGGCCACACUGGGACUGAGACACGGCCCAGACUCCUACGGGAGGCAGCAGUAGGGAAUCUUCGGCAAUGGGGGCAACCCUGACCGAGCAACGCCGCGUGAGUGAAGAAGGUUUUCGGAUCGUAAAGCUCUGUUGUAAGUCAAGAACGAGUGUGAGAGUGGAAAGUUCACACUGUGACGGUAGCUUACCAGAAAGGGACGGCUAACUACGUGCCAGCAGCCGCGGUAAUACGUAGGUCCCGAGCGUUGUCCGGAUUUAUUGGGCGUAAAGCGAGCGCAGGCGGUUUGAUAAGUCUGAAGUUAAAGGCUGUGGCUCAACCAUAGUUCGCUUUGGAAACUGUCAAACUUGAGUGCAGAAGGGGAGAGUGGAAUUCCAUGUGUAGCGGUGAAAUGCGUAGAUAUAUGGAGGAACACCGGUGGCGAAAGCGGCUCUCUGGUCUGUAACUGACGCUGAGGCUCGAAAGCGUGGGGAGCGAACAGGAUUAGAUACCCUGGUAGUCCACGCCGUAAACGAUGAGUGCUAGGUGUUGGAUCCUUUCCGGGAUUCAGUGCCGCAGCUAACGCAUUAAGCACUCCGCCUGGGGAGUACGACCGCAAGGUUGAAACUCAAAGGAAUUGACGGGGGCCCGCACAAGCGGUGGAGCAUGUGGUUUAAUUCGAAGCAACGCGAAGAACCUUACCAGGUCUUGACAUCCCGAUGCUAUUUCUAGAGAUAGAAAGUUACUUCGGUACAUCGGUGACAGGUGGUGCAUGGUUGUCGUCAGCUCGUGUCGUGAGAUGUUGGGUUAAGUCCCGCAACGAGCGCAACCCCUAUUGUUAGUUGCCAUCAUUCAGUUGGGCACUCUAGCGAGACUGCCGGUAAUAAACCGGAGGAAGGUGGGGAUGACGUCAAAUCAUCAUGCCCCUUAUGACCUGGGCUACACACGUGCUACAAUGGUUGGUACAACGAGUUGCGAGUCGGUGACGGCAAGCUAAUCUCUUAAAGCCAAUCUCAGUUCGGAUUGUAGGCCGCAACUCGCCUACAUGAAGUCGGAAUCGCUAGUAAUCGCGGAUCAGCACGCCGCGGUGAAUACGUUCCCGGGCCUUGUACACACCGCCCGUCACACCACGAGAGUUUGUAACACCCGAAGUCGGUGAGGUAACCUUUUGGAGCCAGCCGCCUAAGGUGGGAUAGAUGAUUGGGG
This 1462-nucleotide ribosomal RNA is filed under the name uncultured organism. RNAcentral describes it as "SSU rRNA". It matches the Rfam family "Bacterial small subunit ribosomal RNA". The record is from RNAcentral.